Molecule: long non-coding RNA, 1537 nt
Filed under: Sus scrofa (pig)
Lineage: Eukaryota; Metazoa; Chordata; Mammalia; Artiodactyla; Suidae
Description: lncRNA (ENSSSCG00005014425.1)
Source: RNAcentral
AUGCCUUUAGGUUACCUGUUGUCAUUAAAGAUUAUUGAAUUAGGAGUUCCUGUCGUGGUGCAGUGGUUAACGAAUCCGACUAGGAACCAUGAGCCACGACAGGAACUCCAAAGAUGGAUAUUCUAUCCCAGCAGAUAUACCAUUAAAGAGAAUUUGAAAAACUGAAGAGGGUUUUAUUUAUUUCUUUCUUUAUUUUUGUUGAGGCAGUAUUAUUUAUUUUUUUUUUAUUUUUUGUCUUUUUUGUCUUUUGUUGUUGUUGCUAUUUCUUGGGCCGCUCCCGCGGCAUAUGGAGGGUCCCAGGCUAGGGGUUGAAUCGGAGCUGUAGCCACUGGCCUACGCCAGAGCCACAGCAACGCGGGAUCCGAGCUGCGUCUGCAACCUACACCACAGCUCAUGGCAACGCCGGAUCAUUAACCCACUGAGCAAGGGCAGGGACCGAACCCGCAACCUCAUGGUUCCUAGUCGGAUUCGUUAACCACUGCGCCACGACGGGAACUCCGCAGUAUUAUUUAAUUUCAGUUUUCACAAGCACUCAUCAGGCUGAUUCCUUUCCACAAAUCUACACCUUCUCACCACUCUGUGGCUGGGUUGUGUGUCAUUUAUAUUAAUGUGUAGCAAUUCUGUAUUGAUUAUAAAUACAAAUCUUGAGCCAUUGCUAUCUGUUGCAAAUACACAUUCCCAGCAUGUAUGUUAAUUGAUACAUUUACAAUGUACUUAAUGGAUAUGGCAUCCUUAUAAUUUUUUUUUUUUUGCUUUUUUAGGGCUGCACCUGUGGGACAUGGACACUCCCAGGCUAGGGGUCAAAUCAGAGCUGUAGCUGCCAGCCACAGCCACAGCCACAGCAAUGUAGAAUCUGAGCCUUGUCUGUGGCCUACACCACAGCCCACGGUGACACUGGAUCCUUAACCCACUGAGCAAGGCCAGGGAUCAAACCUGCAUCCUCAUGGAUGCUCGUCAGAUUCAUUAACCACUGAGCCAUGAUGGGAAUUCCAUGAUGUCCUUAUAAUUUUGACACAAUCACAUUUGCUUUCUUUAGGGAUGGACUCUCUGCAUAUAUGCAGCAGAGAGGGAGAAGGGGAGGGUUCAAUCAUUUCACAUGCAUAUUUCAUCAGCUCUCCUGUUCUCACCCCACUUAUAACCAACAUGUGCCUUGUUUCAUUGACUUACAAGCCUCUCAAGAGGUGAACCAUUAACUCUUCACCCUAAACCCUCAACAAGCCACUAAGACAAAGUGUUCUCCCAUGUUCCACACCGGCUACCACACCUACUCCCUGUUUGCUCUCUUCACACUUCCUGGCUUUUACUCACAUACUCCACUAUUCAUUUGAUCAUUUUCCUCCCCUUACUGCCACUGAGUGCAGGGACAAGCUAUGAAUGAGUGUGAUCCACUCACCCCCUUUGAAUGCAAAGACUGCACAUUCUCUGCUAGCUCUGAAGCCCUCUUUCCAGGAAAAUCCUCAUUCCUUUGCACAGACAAGGGAUGGCUGCCCCGCUCAUUGUGAGAGUGAGUCUUUUUUUUCUUAAUCACAUCUUUAGU